CUGUAAAAAAAUUUAAAUAAUAGGAAGUCAAUCUCAUCAAGCUAUUUGAUGACUGCAUGAAUGAAAAUCCAAGGCACUCUAACUAUGGCUGGUGCAUAGAUAGCAUUAAAAAAAAAAAUGUUAUCUAGGAACAACACAAAAUAGCAGAAGACAGAGCCAAGACAGUCAGGAAAGUGAAGCAGAACUGAAGCCCAGAUUGCACUGAAUUUGGAGCCAUCAUAGCAUUGAAAUUCUUUUAUAUAAUGUUUUAAAAUUAUGUCCUAAUGUGAGCCAUUAGGACCAGAGUUUUCUGUAUCCUCUGGGGAAAUUUAUUAACUGAGUUAUUACACAUAAAUAUGAAAGUGAUGGAAUUGAUGUCCUCCAUAUCUGAAACUAUUGGGUCAUGGGCUACUUUCUGCAUGAAAAUUUAGUUUAGAGCCUGCUGAGGGACAGAGGAGAAACUCUUAUUCAUACCGAACAUUCUACUUGCACAUUCAGUCCUCAACAUUUAAACAUCCUCAACUUACAUGGCCAAUAUUUCUGAUACAACUAUAGGUUAUAGGUUAUGAGUCUGUAUAUAACUUUCAGACACUGUUACAUGUCCUAGAAUCCUGCAGGGGUUUAAAAUCUUUAUCUCAGGCUGAAACAUUAGGAAAACCAUUAUAUUUUGUUUUCUUCCAAAUCUAGCUCCCAUGAUUAAAAUUCUAAGGUCCAGAACAUGCAGGGUUUAAUUAUCUAACAACUACUGAAUCUCAUUCAAGCAAGAACAGUUUGAUCGAUGGGUCCAGCUGUGACCAUUGUGUAGCCUGAGUUUUCUGAUGGCUUUAAAAUGUUGACUAUACAGCUGUCAUCUGGAACUUGAGAAUGCACUAGCAUUAAAGUGCCAAAGCUAUUUUAUAGGCCUGUCUGCCUCCACAGAGAGAUGGCAUUCUUCAGGGAAACUUCAAUACACAAUUUGUCCCAUCUUCCAGUGAUGCUGUAAUCAGUGUUAAUGUUUUUGUUCCUCUUAAAUUCCUGUAUUAGUUUAAUUAAGCAGUUUCGAAUGAAGUUAUCUCAGGUCAGUUUUGUGCCUAGUAAAAGGACUAUUUGUGAAAGUCCCAUUUUGCUCCUGUCUACACAAUGCUGUUUAUGAUGUCUAAGACUAUGGAAUGGGAUUCCUAUUUGGUCCAUUCCCACAAUUUAUACAAUUUAUUAGGAGGCAUGGGAGGAGAGAUCUGUUCAGAAUCUUUCUCUCCAAGGCUGUCAGUUAGAAGAGAUGCAGGAAGAUCCACAAGCUGGGAAAUCCUGUUCUGUUGGAGUCAGGGAAGUGUAGAAAUGAUGAAGCAGCUGCCUCCAGGUUGGUUUUGAGUCACCUCUGGUUAAACUAAUGGUACAUUAGUGGAAGUCAUUCCUUAUUCUCCGUUGAAACCACUCACCAGAUCACUCACAGAUAUACUGAGUAUUUCUAUCGUAACCUAAGUCAGAAGAAGGAUGUGGAGUUUUCAAAUGGUCAGGUUACCAUUGUCAAAUUGAAGGGGAGAACCGUGAUCAUUUAGCUGGAAGCGUCUUUUUCGACAUUUCAGGAAGGAAAGAAAUCCUACUGCAAUAUAGCUAACGCUGACCUCAUGAGAAGUCCUGGACAAAGAAGAAAGGAGAUGGCAUAGUUGUAAAUAAAAGGUCCAAAUGGACACAUUGUUAAGUUCGACUGUUUUCUCCAGGUUUGGGAUUCUGGUGAGGAAGAGUGGGAAUGAAAUAAACUAUCAAAAACUA
Ictidomys tridecemlineatus (thirteen-lined ground squirrel) is the source of this 1728-nucleotide non-coding RNA. The record is from RefSeq and is a predicted model, not a curated record. Lineage: Eukaryota; Metazoa; Chordata; Mammalia; Rodentia; Sciuridae.